RNAcentral lists this ribosomal RNA (1438 nucleotides) under uncultured organism. Its description in RNAcentral is "partial small subunit ribosomal RNA". It matches the Rfam family "Bacterial small subunit ribosomal RNA". The record is from RNAcentral.
UCGGCGUGCUUAACACAUGCAAGUCGAACGGAAAGGCCCUGCUUUUGUGGGGUGCUCGAGUGGCGAACGGGUGAGUAACACGUGAGUAACCUGCCCUUGACUUUGGGAUAACUUCAGGAAACUGGGGCUAAUACCGGAUAGGAGCUCCUGCUGCAUGGUGGGGGUUGGAAAGUUUCGGCGGUUGGGGAUGGACUCGCGGCUUAUCAGCUUGUUGGUGGGGUAGUGGCUUACCAAGGCUUUGACGGGUAGCCGGCCUGAGAGGGUGACCGGCCACAUUGGGACUGAGAUACGGCCCAGACUCCCACGGGAGGCAGCAGUGGGGAAUAUUGCACAAUGGGCGGAAGCCUGAUGCAGCAACGCCGCGUGCGGGAUGACGGCCUUCGGGUUGUAAACCGCUUUCGCCUGUGACGAAGCGUGAGUGACGGUAAUGGGUAAAGAAGCACCGGCUAACUACGUGCCAGCAGCCGCGGUGAUACGUAGGGUGCGAGCGUUGUCCGGAUUUAUUGGGCGUAAAGGGCUCGUAGGUGGUUGAUCGCGUCGGAAGUGUAAUCUUGGGGCUUAACCCUGAGCGUGCUUUCGAUACGGGUUGACUUGAGGAAGGUAGGGGAGAAUGGAAUUCCUGGUGGAGCGGUGGAAUGCGCAGAUAUCAGGAGGAACACCAGUGGCGAAGGCGGUUCUCUGGGCCUUUCCUGACGCUGAGGAGCGAAAGCGUGGGGAGCGAACAGGCUUAGAUACCCUGGUAGUCCACGCUGUAAACGGUGGGUACUAGGUGUGGGGUCCAUUCCACGGGUUCCGUGCCGUAGCUAACGCUUUAAGUACCCCGCCUGGGGAGUACGGCCGCAAGGCUAAAACUCAAAGGAAUUGACGGGGCCCCGCACAAGCGGCGGAGCAUGCGGAUUAAUUCGAUGCAACGCGUAGAACCUUACCUGGGUUUGACAUGGAUCGGGAGUGCUCAGAGAUGGGUGUGCCUCUUUUGGGGUCGGUUCACAGGUGGUGCAUGGCUGUCGUCAGCUCGUGUCGUGAGAUGUUGGGUUAAGUCCCGCAACGAGCGCAACCCUUGUUCACUGUUGCCAGCACGUUAUGGUGGGGACUCAGUGGAGACCGCCGGGGUCAACUCGGAGGAAGGUGGGGAUGACGUCAAGUCAUCAUGCCCCUUAUGUCCAGGGCUUCACGCAUGCUACAAUGGCUGGUACAGAGAGUGGCGAGCCUGUGAGGGUGAGCGAAUCUCGGAAAGCCGGUCUCAGUUCGGAUUGGGGUCUGCAACUCGACCUCAUGAAGUCGGAGUCGCUAGUAAUCGCAGAUCAGCAACGCUGCGGUGAAUACGUUCCCGGGGCUUGUACACACCGCCCGUCAAGUCAUGAAAGUUGGUAACACCCGAAGCCGGUGGCCUAACCGUUGUGGGGGAGCCGUCGAAGGUGGGACUGGUGAUUAGGACUAA